This 406-nucleotide ribosomal RNA is filed under the name uncultured bacterium. RNAcentral's name for it is "partial 16S ribosomal RNA". It matches the Rfam family "Bacterial small subunit ribosomal RNA", at positions 30 to 526 of the family's 1533-position model. The record is from RNAcentral.
AUUGAACGCUGGCGGCAGGCCUAACACAUGCAAGUCGAACGAGUGGCGGACGGGUGAGUAAUGCCUGGGAAACUGCCCGAUGGAGGGGGAUAACUACUGGAAACUGUAGCUAAUACCGCCUACCAUCGGAUGUGCCCAGAUGGGAUUAGCUAGUAGGUGGGGUAAAGGCUCACCUAGGCGACGAUCCCUAGCUGGUCUGAGAGGAUGACCAGCAACACUGGAACGGAGACACGGGCCAGACUCCUACGGGAGGCAGCAGUGGGGAAUAGUGCACAAUGGGGGCAAGCCUGAUGCAGCCAUGCCGCGUGUAUGAAGAAGGCCUUCGGGUUGCAAAGUUCUUUCGGCAGGGAGGCGUUAAUCACAGAAGAAGCACCGGCUAACUCCGUGCCAGCAGCCGCGGUAAUAC